This 484-nucleotide ribosomal RNA is filed under the name fungal endophyte. RNAcentral describes it as "eukaryotic LSU rRNA". It matches the Rfam family "Eukaryotic large subunit ribosomal RNA", at positions 1 to 474 of the family's 3401-position model. The record is from RNAcentral. Lineage: Eukaryota; Fungi.
ACCAGGUUGACCUCGGAUCAGGUAGGGAUACCCGCUGAACUUAAGCAUAUCAAUAAGCGGAGGAAAAGAAACCAACAGGGAUUGCCUCAGUAACGGCGAGUGAAGCGGCAAGAGCUCAAAUUUGAAAGCUGGCUCCUUCGGGGUCCGCAUUGUAAUUUGCAGAGGAUGCUUCGGGAGCGGCCCCCAUCUAAGUGCCCUGGAACGGGCCGUCAUAGAGGGUGAAAAUCCCGUCUGGGAUGGGGUGUCCGCGCCCGUGUGAAGCUCCUUCGACGAGUCGAGUUGUUUGGGAAUGCAGCUCUAAAUGGGUGGUAAAUUUCAUCUAAAGCUAAAUAUUGGCCGGAGACCGAUAGCGCACAAGUAGAGUGAUCGAAAGAUGAAAAGCACUUUGAAAAGAGAGUUAAACAGCACGUGAAAUUGUUGAAAGGGAAGCGCUUGCGACCAGACUCGCCCACGGGGUUCAGCCGGCAUUCGUGCCGGUGUACUU